This 460-nucleotide ribosomal RNA is filed under the name uncultured bacterium. RNAcentral describes it as "partial 16S ribosomal RNA". It matches the Rfam family "Bacterial small subunit ribosomal RNA", at positions 338 to 795 of the family's 1533-position model. The record is from RNAcentral.
CCUACGGGUGGCAGCAGUGAGGAAUAUUGGUCAAUGGGCGCGAGCCUGAACCAGCCAAGUCGCGUGAGGGAGGACGGCCCUACGGGUUGUAAACCUCUUUUGCCGGGGAGCAACGGGCGCCACGUGUGGCGUCACUGAGAGUACCCGGAGAAAAAGCAUCGGCAAACUCCGUGCCAGCAGCCGCGGUAAUACGGAGGAUGCGAGCGUUAUCCGGAUUUAUUGGGUUUAAAGGGUGCGAAGGCGGAUGGUUAAGUCAGUGGUCAAAUUGAGGGGCCCAACCCCUUCCCGCCAUUGAAACUGGCGUUCUGGAGUGGAUGAGAAGUAUGCGGAAUGCGUGGUGUAGCGGUGAAAUGCAUAGAUAUCACGAAGAACCCCGAUUGCGAAGGCAGCAUGCCGGCUUCCGACUGACGCUGAGGCACGAAAGCGUGGGGAUCGAACAGGAUUAGAUACCCCUGUAGUC